UACCUUUCAUAUUGGACGUCUCAGGUGCAAUUUGCACAGGUGCGACAUUUGACGACGAUUAGCGUGUCUGAGAGAGAUAAGAGGAUUUUCUGUCAAUAUAGACGUUAGUCUGACGACCCAUGAAUCUAACAAGACUAGCAGGAUAAACUACUGGUUGUCUCGGUCACACAUUUUGGAGUUUUAAUUCCUUUACUACAGUUUAACAAGGAGUGAUGAGGCUAGCGUGCACGGCUACAGUUGUUGUUGUUAUUUUACACAUGACGACAGCCUGGCUAUUUGACAUCGACCAAAAGGGAGUCGACUCUAACAUAAAUAACAGACAGCACAAUCGUAACGUCGACUCCAUGGCGGAUGACGAAAUGACAGAACCGGAAGAGGAAAUACCCCUUAUAUUGCGCAUACUCAGAUCGGACGGAAAUGACGUUGUUGGAACCGUUUCCGAGUUACACGCGCAUGCGCUGUCAAACAGACGAAAUCACCAGCAGAGGCGACAAGUACGUUCACACUGGACAGACAUGAUGACGUCAUGAUACAAAUGACAUCAUUUUGAAAUGACACAGCUGUGUGACAAAGUGACGUCAUGAUUGUUUUCACGCCCAUGCUGGAUCUUCUGUUCAAAGAAAAAGCGAAAUAAAUGAUUCAUCAAUAUUCCACACACAAAGGAUGAAACAAAAAUUAUAUGAGGAGAUAAUAUCAUCAGUUUUGUCCGGACUUUCUUCAAUUCGGUGACGAGUUAGAUAUGCUGAUCAAAGUGUUAACAUGUUAUCCACGUGAGGGUAUGUCUUCUGCUUUGACCUGUCAUACGUAACGUUACUGCCAGUGUUUAUGUAGUACCUACCUUAUAUAUCUUUGUCACUAUUACAACGCAUUCACACCAUUCCCUGGGAACAGGUCCUCGAGCGAUCUCAAUUCAAUGAUGAGCUGGAUUUAUUGCUAUCAAUUAGAUAAGUAGAAUUGAUGAGGUUUUCAUUAGGAGCGAGGACAAAUGAGGAUAUCAAUAUUCUGAUUAAAAGGGUUUGUCACGUGACUCUCUUUGUCUUAUCCCCACAGUAAUGGUUGCCGUGUAAAUUGAAGGCCUACAAACGUUGAAAAAUUAAUAUAUAAUAUUGCUGAUUCUACAACACAGGAACCCGAUAAUAAAUUAUGUAUGUUGAGUAUUUAUUUGAUGAUGUAUUUUUAUAAAACGACAUAAUUAUUUUGAAGAGCAAGGUCUAGUAGAUUGCCGUAGAUUUUCACGCAGCAUAGACUUGUUGAAUUCACGUUGUUUAAGAGUUAAAUCCGUUUAUGCUUGCCAAUCUAUUUAUUGCACUAACUUGUAACAAUCAUCCAGAACACCCUAUCAACUUUCUGUUUCUACAAAAUAAAACUGUGAG
Molecule: long non-coding RNA, 1373 nt
Organism: Mizuhopecten yessoensis (Yesso scallop)
Lineage: Eukaryota; Metazoa; Mollusca; Bivalvia; Pectinida; Pectinidae
Exons: 4
Source: RefSeq, a predicted model, not a curated record